This 569-nucleotide ribosomal RNA is filed under the name Aureobasidium melanogenum. RNAcentral describes it as "eukaryotic LSU rRNA". It matches the Rfam family "Eukaryotic large subunit ribosomal RNA", at positions 87 to 671 of the family's 3401-position model. The record is from RNAcentral. Lineage: Eukaryota; Fungi; Ascomycota; Dothideomycetes; Dothideales; Saccotheciaceae.
CGGCGAGUGAAGCGGCAACAGCUCAAAUUUGAAAGCUGGCCUUCGGGUCCGCAUUGUAAUUUGUAGAGGAUGCUUUGGGUGAAACGCCAGUCUAAGUUCCUUGGAACAGGACGUCAUAGAGGGUGAGAAUCCCGUAUGUGACUGGAAAUGUUAACCUAUGUAAAGCUCCUUCGACGAGUCGAGUUGUUUGGGAAUGCAGCUCUAAAUGGGAGGUAAAUUUCUUCUAAAGCUAAAUAUUGGCGAGAGACCGAUAGCGCACAAGUAGAGUGAUCGAAAGAUGAAAAGCACUUUGGAAAGAGAGUUAAAAAGCACGUGAAAUUGUUGAAAGGGAAGCGCUUGCAAUCAGACUUGUUUAAACUGUUCGGCCGGUCUUCUGACCGGUUUACUCAGUUUGGACAGGCCAGCAUCAGUUUCGGCGGCCGGAUAAAGGCUCUGGGAAUGUGGCCUUCACUUCGGUGAAGGUGUUAUAGCCCAGGGUGUAAUACGGCCAGCCGGGACUGAGGUCCGCGCUUCGGCUAGGAUGCUGGCGUAAUGGUGGUAAGCGACCCGUCUUGAAGCACGGACCACAA